RNAcentral lists this transfer RNA (87 nucleotides) under candidate division CPR3 bacterium. RNAcentral describes it as "tRNA-Leu". It matches the Rfam family "tRNA". Rfam says of the family: Transfer RNA (tRNA) molecules are approximately 80 nucleotides in length. Their secondary structure includes four short double-helical elements and three loops (D, anti-codon, and T loops). Lineage: Bacteria; candidate division CPR3. The record is from RNAcentral.
GGGCGAGUAGCCGAAUUGGUAUAGGCGCAGCGCUUAGGACGCUGUUCCCGCAAGGGAGUGUGGGUUCGAGUCCCACCUCGCCCACCA